UCUUGACUCCACAAGCUGCAGAGCAUAGGGCCUGGGUCUCCCUGUGCCUAAAGUGUUUGGUAGAGUCAGCGUUGCCACCCAAGGGAAAGAAAACGAAGCCUGCAGUACUGAGCCCGAAUGCUGCUGGCUGGCUAGCAGCCAGACGUGGGGGGGAAUUGGAGCGCUGUGUCUUUAAGAAGGAAGAGGGCACAUCUUCGGGGGUGGAGCCCGGCCCCAUUAUCCAAGGGCUUGGAAGUUGCUAGGACCUGCCUUUGAGGAGAGCAGGCCUUGUGGGUCUGGUUUGCAGCUCUGGCACCACUCAGGGCCCUGCUCCCCUACUUCCCUGCUGCCACACGACUCAGCCUUGGCACCGAUUGUCUGCAUCCCAUGGAAAGAAACUGGUGCGUUUUCCCCAUGUGGUCAACGGCAGCGUUGCCUCCCCCGCCACUGAGAGGACCUCGGGGUAGAAGGAAACCCGCCCAUUGGCAAUGAACAACCCAGCCAUGGUGGCCAGGCCUGGGGCCCGCCGGGGUCCGCUGCAGCAGAGCUGAGGGACUCCGGCCGAAGGCAAAAACCCUGAUACUGCUUGUUCAUCAAUGUGCGUUACUCUUGUCUAUCAGGUUGGGGUUUUUUGUUUUGUUUUUUUAGCGUUUUGUGAUCACCCCGUGCUAUGCCCAAUAAAUGGCCUGACCUUGAAAGAGCUUGCAGGGAGUUGGGAGCAUUAGUCAGAAGAGAUCAGGCUCUGCCCAGGCAGCAAACCCCAGAAUCACUGUGGCUGAACCGAACAUCACAAAGGCUUAGCCGGCAGACGAUUCCUGCGACGACCUGCUCUGCUCCACAGAAUCACUCAGGGGCUCCGAUGAUAGACAAUCCGCAUCUUGUAGCUGCCUCGGUCACUGCAGCAGCAGCGGGGAAAAAGCUGGAGAGGGUCAGGCACCCGCCCAGGAGUGAAUCCUGGCACUUCUGGUCACAGAACAGCAUUAGUCGCCAGGCCCUGCCUAAGCUCAAGCAGGUGCACGCAGGAAGCCCAUGCAGAAAGGAGAGAAGAAUGGAUACAGUCAGGUACUAAAAGGCAUGACUGCAUGGAGAGAGACCAUUACUCUUUCAUAAAUGUUGCCAGGUUGCUUGCAGUACCGCGUAGCAGGCACUGGCCCGGAUCCUGGGGGGAGCCCGUCACCAGCACAGCCGCUCUCCCAUCAUCUAGCGAGCACCAACAGCAGCGUAGCGUGUUAGGAAGAGCACCCCCUGGAGUUGUGUGAUGCAGGAGCCCUGCUUUUAUUGUCCUUGCUUAGGUUAUGUUUGGUCAUUAUCAUCUGUCUUCUGCACCGGCAGGAAGACUUUGAGAGCAGGGCUUUUUACCUGAGUUGCCUACGGCUCUAUUUUUAGACAUUUAGCCCAGUCCCUAGGGGGCUUGACCAAUACUUGUUAAGUGAAUGAUUAAAAAUGGAUGAUCAUGAA
Long non-coding RNA from Mustela lutreola (European mink), 1437 nucleotides. RefSeq lists it as uncharacterized. The transcript is spliced from 2 exons. The record is from RefSeq and is a predicted model, not a curated record. NCBI's taxonomy places the organism in Eukaryota, Metazoa, Chordata, Mammalia, Carnivora, Mustelidae.